Molecule: ribosomal RNA, 119 nt
Filed under: Pteropus alecto (black flying fox)
Lineage: Eukaryota; Metazoa; Chordata; Mammalia; Chiroptera; Pteropodidae
Source: RNAcentral
GUCUAUGGCCACGCUACCCUGAACAAGCCCGAUCCCGUCUGACCUCAGAAGCUAAGCAGGGUCGGGCCUGGUUAGUACUUGGAUGAGAGACCACCUAAGAAGACCAGGUGCUAUAGGCA